This 484-nucleotide ribosomal RNA is filed under the name uncultured bacterium. RNAcentral's name for it is "bacterial SSU rRNA". It matches the Rfam family "Bacterial small subunit ribosomal RNA", at positions 29 to 507 of the family's 1533-position model. The record is from RNAcentral.
AGUGAACGCUGGGCGGCAGGCCUAACACAUGCAAGUCGAGCGGCAGCGCGGGGCAACCCUGGCGACGAGCGGCGGACGGGUGAGGAAUGCAUCGGAAUCUACCUCGUUGUGGGGGAUAACCUCGGGAAACCGGGACUAAUACCGCAUACGACCUACGGGUGAAAGUGGGGGACCUUCGGGCCUCACGCGAUGAGAUGAGCCGAUGCCGGAUUAGCUAGUUGGCGGGGUAAAGGCCCACCAAGGCGACGAUCCGUAGCUGGUCUGAGAGGAUGAUCAGCCACACUGGAACUGAGACACGGUCCAGACUCCUACGGGAGGCAGCAGUGGGGAAUAUUGGACAAUGGGCGCAAGCCUGAUCCAGCCAUGCCGCGUGUGUGAAGAAGGCCUUCGGGUUGUAAAGCACUUUUGUUGGGGAAGAAACCGGUCGGAUUAAUACUUCGGCUGAAUGACGGUACCCAAAGAAUAAGCACCGGCUAACUUCGUG